Long non-coding RNA from Aphis gossypii (cotton aphid), 1627 nucleotides. RefSeq lists it as uncharacterized. The record is from RefSeq and is a predicted model, not a curated record. Lineage: Eukaryota; Metazoa; Arthropoda; Insecta; Hemiptera; Aphididae. The transcript is spliced from 3 exons.
UCGCUUAUAAUUAAAUCAUAUAUAAUAGAAACGGUGUGAGCAUGUGCGAAUACAGAAGUAUUUAUUCGUUUAACGUCGGUGGCCUCAAAUCAGUGAGCCGUUAAGUGUUUUACCUGCUGUGCGUUGAACACACGAUAUAUAUUAUAUAGCUAGUAUAACGUUAGAGGGUGUAUCAAAAAAAAAAAAAAAAAAUUGGUUUUUAUUUACGCCCCAUUGGACUAUAGGGUAUCAUUAAAACGAUGUACGCACGCUGAACAUACCUUUACAUAUAUAUAAACAUAAAUUUGUUAUAUUGUGUCGCGUGUAUGUAUAAACGUAAUUGUGUGCACGUGGACUUGUCGUUGUAAUAAUAACUGUGUGUGCGAGCGGACUUUAACGCCGAGGCAGUUUAGACGUUGUUUUACAGCCGUUCCCUUCUUCCUUCCACGCCGCCGACUCGCUCUGGCUAGUUCCGACCGAUCUAUGCCGACGACACACGCACACCGGGAGAAUAAAGAGGGGUGGUGGCGACGCUCGAUGGCCCGAGGGUUUCAUUAGACGACAACGACAGGAUUUGAUGGCCAACAAUAACGUCGUAAAACGUUGUUUGGCAGAGCUUAAUGAAAUUUUGCCGCCGCCUCCGACGACGACAAUGUUUCAUUUUUACGCAGAUUCACCCGACCCCGUUGUGAUUGUGCAUACAUGUUUAUAUAGCGGGCCGACCGAGUAGGUAUAUAGUAAUAUGGCGUGGCUGCAGCAGCGGAGUGCGCGCAACACGCGUUCACGUUAAUAUCAUACUCUAUACAUGGCGUGUUCGCGAAGGGAGGUGUGCAGAGGGGGUUAGAAAACAAGAUAGAAAAACAAAACGAGUCACUAGAGAAUUACUUUUGGGCUAUUAUGAAAAGCCGUCGCGUCAUAGAGCCUUACACGUGAGUAAAACCGCAAAACUACGCAUAAUACUGGAGCCUAUAAAAAAAAAAAACCGUUAAAUCACGUAACUAUUUCACUAUUCAGUACAAUCGUAUAAUAAACUAAGAAUAAUAUUAUAGUUCUUCCGGAUUUUGCAUGAACUCAAUUAAAUAUUUUUAGUGUUAUAAUAGAGUCUUCGAAAAAAAUAAAAUAAAAUUUUUAAGAACUAUAUAGUAUUACCUAUAUUAGUCUCACUCAUUUAUUAUCGUGACCCCCAAACAACUAUUUUAAAAGCAUAUAAUAUGCUUCUUUUUUAUACACGAGGUAGAAAUCUAAUUUUUAUGUAUAAAUUCGUUUCGUGUCAUUCUAAUUCUAAAUAAACUAAUUUAGUUUUGCUUUUUUCAGUUAUUACAGCUGCAGAAUGUUUAUAUAUUAUGUUAAUAUUAUGACACUAUUGUAAUAAUAAAAAACGUAAAAACCCAGAACGCGUUACAGAUUAUAGAUCUGCAUAAUAGCCUUCAGUACCUAUACGGACAGUAUGCCUAUAACAUCGAUAUCGACCAUUUCAAAAUUAAAGAUUUUGUCUUGUCAUUUGAAACCUCUUGUAUGAAGUAUGCGCCGAUCAAUUCAGUGGAUGUAGAGAAUACUGAAAAUCUAGAGAAAUACAUGGUAAUUAAUUCUUUUUUUUUAAAUUUAAAUUAAUUUUUAAAACUUUUUUAUUAAUUUUUAUAACUAGUUU